CUGCUGAAUUGUAUGACUUCGAUGAUGAGAAGGAGGAAAACAAGGUGGAUUUCAAGAAGAUUGUCAGUGACAAUUGGAUAGAACCUCCUAAAAGAGAGAGAAAACGCAAUUAUUCAGAGUCCGAAUACUUCAAGCAAACCAUGCGUCAAAGUGCCCCUGCAAGACCUAGAGAGCCUCGGAUUCCUCGGAUGCCACAGCUGCAUGACUUUCAGUUCUUCAAUACACAGAGACUGAGUGAGUUGUAUGAGAAGGAAGUGCGCUAUCUCAUGACACACCAGAAGAAUCAGGUUAAAGACACUAUAGAGAUGGAAGAAUCUGAAGAUGCAGGAGAGCCUUUAACGGCUGAAGAGCAGGAAGAAAAGGAGCAACUUUUGGAAGAGGGAUUUUCAAUGUGGAGUAGAAGAGACUUCAAUACUUUUAUCAGGGCUUGUGAGAAGUAUGGCCGCGAUGACUUAAAAAGUAUUGCUGCUGAAAUGGAAG
Molecule: unclassified non-coding RNA, 480 nt
Filed under: Hevea brasiliensis (rubber tree)
Lineage: Eukaryota; Viridiplantae; Streptophyta; Magnoliopsida; Malpighiales; Euphorbiaceae
Source: RNAcentral